RNAcentral lists this ribosomal RNA (461 nucleotides) under uncultured bacterium. RNAcentral's name for it is "bacterial SSU rRNA". It matches the Rfam family "Bacterial small subunit ribosomal RNA", at positions 338 to 795 of the family's 1533-position model. The record is from RNAcentral.
CCUANGGGAGGCAGCAGUGAGGAAUAUUGGGCAAUGGACGCAAGUCUGACCCAGCCAUGCCGCGUGCAGGAUUGAAGGCCCUAUGGGUCGUAAACUGCUUUUAUUUGGGAAGAAACCCUCUGAUGUAUCAGAGAUUGACGGUACCAAAGGAAUAAGCAUCGGCUAACUCCGUGCCAGCAGCCGCGGUAAUACGGAGGAUGCAAGCGUUAUCCGGAUUCAUUAGGUUUAAAGGGUGCGUAGGCGGAAUAAUAAGUCAGUGGUGAAAUCUUGCCGCUUAACGGUGAAAUUGCCAUUGAAACUGUUAUUCUUGAGUAUAGUUGAGGUGGGCGGAAUGUGUAGUGUAGCGGUGAAAUGCUUAGAUAUUACACAGAACACCAAUUGCGAAGGCAGCUCACUAAACUAUCACUGACGCUGAGGCACGAAAGCGUGGGUAGCGAACAGGAUUAGAUACCCGANUANUC